This 459-nucleotide ribosomal RNA is filed under the name uncultured bacterium. RNAcentral's name for it is "partial 16S ribosomal RNA". It matches the Rfam family "Bacterial small subunit ribosomal RNA", at positions 338 to 795 of the family's 1533-position model. The record is from RNAcentral.
CCUACGGGUGGCAGCAGUGAGGAAUAUUGGUCAAUGGCCGAGAGGCUGAACCAGCCAAGUCGCGUGAGGGAAGACGGCCCUACGGGUUGUAAACCUCUUUUGUCGGGGAGCAAAGCGAGUCACGUGUGACUCAUUGAGAGUACCCGACGAAAAAGCAUCGGCUAACUCCGGGCCAGCAGCCGCGGUAAUACGGGGGAUGCGAGCGUUAUCGGGAUUUAUUGGGUUUAAAGGGUGCGCAGGGGGAGGUGCAAGUCAGCGGUAAAAUUGCGGGGCUCAACCCCGUACUGCAGCUGAAACUGGAUGGCUUGAGUGCGGGAGAGGUAUGGGGAAUGCGUGGUGUAGCGGUGAAAUGCAUAGAGAUCACGCAGAACUCCGGUUGCGAAGGCAGCAUACCGGCGCGCAACUGACGCUCAUGCACGAAAGCGUGGGUAUCGAACAGGAUUAGAUACCCCGGUAGUC